RNAcentral lists this ribosomal RNA (982 nucleotides) under uncultured bacterium. RNAcentral describes it as "bacterial SSU rRNA". It matches the Rfam family "Bacterial small subunit ribosomal RNA", at positions 504 to 1500 of the family's 1533-position model. The record is from RNAcentral.
CGUGCCAGCAGCCGCGGUAAUACGGAGGAUGCGAGCGUUAUCCGGAUUUAUUGGGUUUAAAGGGUGCGUAGGCGGUUUGUUAAGUCAGUGGUGGAAGUUUGCGGCUCAACCGUAAAAUUGCCAUUGAAACUGGCGAACUUGAGUACAGUAGAGGUAGGCGGAAUUCGUGGUGUAGCGGUGAAAUGCUUAGAUAUCACGAAGAACUCCGAUUGCGAAGGCAGCUUGCUGGACUGUAACUGACGCUGAGGCACGAAGGCGUGGGGAUCAAACAGGAUUAGAUACCCUGGUAGUCCACGCCGUAAACGAUGAAUGCUAGCUGUUAGCGAUAUACUGUUAGCGGCACAGAGAAAUCGUUAAGCAUUCCACCUGGGGAGUACGCCGGCAACGGUGAAACUCAAAGGAAUUGACGGGGGCCCGCACAAGCGGAGGAACAUGUGGUUUAAUUCGAUGAUACGCGAGGAACCUUACCUGGGCUUAAAUUGCAGUGGAAUGACGUGGAAACAUGUUAGCCUUCGGGCCGCUGUGAAGGUGCUGCAUGGUUGUCGUCAGCUCGUGCCGUGAGGUGUCGGCUUAAGUGCCAUAACGAGCGCAACCCUCAUCGAUAGUUACUAACAGGUUAAGCUGAGGACUCUAUCGAGACUGCCGACGUAAGUCGUGAGGAAGGUGGGGAUGACGUCAAAUCAGCACGGCCCUUACGUCCAGGGCUACACACGUGUUACAAUGGGGGGUACAAAGGGCAGCUACCUGGCGACAGGAUGCUAAUCUCAAAAACCUCUCUCAGUUCGGAUUGGAGUCUGCAACCCGACUCCAUGAAGCUGGAUUCGCUAGUAAUCGCGCAUCAGCCACGGCGCGGUGAAUACGUUCCCGGGCCUUGUACACACCGCCCGUCAAGCCAUGGGAGCCGGGGGGACCUGAAGUAUGCAACCGUAAGGAGCGUCCUAGGGUAAAACUGGUGACUGGGGCUAAGUCGUAACAAGGUACC